AGUUUCAUUUUCAUUUAAUUGUUUUCGGCACGUUGAGUGUGAAAAUUGAAAUGUGUCUGAAGGCGUUGGAGCUGUCAAGGGUUAAGGCGCGAGGUAGAAUCCGAGCUCGCUUCGGUGCAUCGCCAGACGACGACUUUUGUCUUCUACAGCCUUUGAUGGGGCUCGCCUAAUUAGCAUCGGGCCAAGGCAAAUUGCUUGUUAAUUAAAUAACGUCAAAACAUGAAAAGGAUUUCACCUUUUUUUCCUUUCUCUCCCGAAAAACGGUUCAAGUGGCAUCGAACCCAUUGACAGGCACUCAAGGUUUCAAAUGGAAAGGAAAAAUUGUCAAAUUACGGAAUUUACCUUCUAAAAAUAUAUUGAAGAGAAUUUGAGAAAUUCAGCAGCCAAAAUUAAAGACAACACGGAAUCCGCGGACUGUUAAGAGAAUAAUUGUUGAACGCCAAGCACAAGGAAAGAAAAAAAUAUCUAAAUAAAAACAGUAUUUAGCCAGCUAAAAAAGGAUCUCGUGAACUUCUCAAAUGAAAAUACUAUAAACUUGGAGAAUGCCAAAGGCUCUGUAUGCUAUUUUCAUGUCUAAGGAUUAAAAAAAAAAUGUAAUAUUAAAUGCAUAAAAUCUUAAA
Long non-coding RNA from Drosophila kikkawai, 620 nucleotides. RefSeq lists it as uncharacterized. NCBI's taxonomy places the organism in Eukaryota, Metazoa, Arthropoda, Insecta, Diptera, Drosophilidae. The record is from RefSeq and is a predicted model, not a curated record.